RNAcentral lists this ribosomal RNA (424 nucleotides) under uncultured bacterium. RNAcentral's name for it is "bacterial SSU rRNA". It matches the Rfam family "Bacterial small subunit ribosomal RNA", at positions 355 to 776 of the family's 1533-position model. The record is from RNAcentral.
UAAGGAAUAUUGGACAAUGGAGGCAACUCUGAUCCAGCCAUCCCGCGUGUAGGAAGACUGCCCUAUGGGUUGUAAACUACUUUUAGAUAGGAAGAACGGCAGAUACUUGUAUUUGUAUGACGGUACUAUCAGAAUAAGCACCGGCUAACUCCGUGCCAGCAGCCGCGGUAAUACGGAGGGUGCAAGCGUUAUCCGGAAUCACUGGGUUUAAAGGGUGCGUAGGCGGCCUGGUAAGUCAGAGGUGAAAUGCACGAGCUUAACUGGUGAAUUGCCUUUGAAACUACCAAGCUAGAAUUAUGUUGAGGUCAGCGGAAUGAGUCAUGUAGCGGUGAAAUGCAUAGAUAUGACUUAGAACACCAAUUGCGUAGGCAGCUGGCUGGGCAUAUAUUGACGCUGAGGCACGAAAGCGUGGGGAGCGAACAGG